RNAcentral lists this long non-coding RNA (343 nucleotides) under Musa acuminata (dwarf banana). RNAcentral describes it as "long non-coding RNA (MACU_LNC003980)". The record is from RNAcentral. Lineage: Eukaryota; Viridiplantae; Streptophyta; Magnoliopsida; Zingiberales; Musaceae.
UUCGUAGGAAGCUCGCCGGAAGACUUCCCGAGAAAUUGGCCGGAGGAUCGCCAAGUGAAAAAAAUGACAUACCGGACAAUGCUUGUCUUAAUCGUAGUUAGAAUGAUAAUUAGAGUUGAUUUGAGAGGUAAUCCCAUCAACUCUAUUAGGGACCAAUUGGGCUCGGAGCUAGGAUGGUUUGGGCCGAAUACAAAGCCCAAUUAGAUUGUUGGACUCUUACCAGCGGUGGCAUCGCUCGGGCCGGCGGUGGCACCGCUUGGAAGACCCAGUCUCCUAAGUGGUCUAGGCAGUGGUACCGCCUAGACUGGGUGGUGGUACCGCCCAGACUGGGUGGUGGUAUCGC